CGGGAGGCCGAGGCGGCCUGGGCGGCUCAGCGCUGGGACUCGAGCGGCGUCCCGCAGACCGCGGCCCGGCGUCCUGGCUGCUCUCCCGCGGCCGGAUGCCGGCUUGGCCCGGUGCACUCGCCAGUCUCCACGUCGGCACCGUCUGGCGCCCACCGCCCUUCGGCGCGGCCCUUCUCCGCGGUCGUAAUUGUUCUCCGCCGAGCUCGGCGCUCUGGCUGCCCCUCCGGGUUCCCAAGGACCUUCCCAGUCGCCCGCCCCCCGCGUUAUUGGUGCGGGGGCCUCCGCCCUGGGAAAGUCACUCUCCCAGAACCGGGGUAGCCGGAUCGAGAGAAGUAGGCGGUGGCCCCAGUUACGCACCCCGCCCGUUUGCAGGGGUCGGACCGGCGGCACACUGGUGGGUUAAGGAUCGGUGGACCUGCGGGAAGUGGCUGAAAGAAAACCGGCUUAGUGUAUCCCGAAGUGUAGGCCUCUCUUCCCGAAGACCCCCGUAGACGGCUGGGCCCAGACCUGAUUGGUCCAAUUGGUCCAGCUCAGCCAGACUCAGUUCUGCUACCAAAGAUGGAAGGAUAUGAGCCUCCAGGAUCUUCCUGAUAUGUCUACUGUCAUUAAUGUCACCAGUGAUGGAACAAAUCAUCAUGAGCAUCAUCACGUCUGUAGUAAUUCUGCCAAAAAUAAAUAUUCUGGAUAUUACCACAUGGAAACGCAAGAAAGACCCAAAUUGCAGAAUACUUGUGUGUGUGUGUUUUUUUUAAGGACUGUAAUUGCCAAUGUUUUAAGAUAAGAUCUAAACUGGUUUUAGAAUGAAAGACUGAAGAUUCGUAACAACCAAGUGAAAUAUGUUACUCCUGGCUCAGGUCUUUCUGCCCUAAAUAGUAGUAUGAUAUAGAUAGCAAAAAUGAAUGGGCUUUCUAGGUGAUGGGCAUGGGGGAGUUCUUUACACUUUCUUGCCACUUCAGUGUUUGGAAUUAUUUUCAAAUAAAACGUGAAAAUUAGAACCCAACCUGUAGAAAAGACUCAAUUUUCUAUAAAAGAGCUGAUAAAACUAAUAUACAGAUUUACCAAGAUCACUGUGUGCAAGAUCAGCAUUCAAAAAUCACAUACAUUUCUAUAUUCUAGCAAUAAAUAAUAAAAAAUUAAAAUUUUAAAAUCAUUUACAAUGGUAUCUGUGAUAUGUGAAAUAUAUAUUUGGUUUUCAUUUCCAUUUCCUGGCAUAUACCUCCUAAAAUCCUUGGAAUCAUCAAAAUAGUGUCUCUUAUGUGCCAUUGAGUUGACGAGUGGCUGGCAUACCCUAGCUGUAGUACAGACACUGGUCACCAGAAAAACCAAAGCAGGUUUAGAGGAUUGGGACUUUCAGCCCUACCUGCCAGUCUCCAUGGAGAAGAGAGGGACUAAAAAUUAAGUUGAUCGCCAAUGACCAAUGAUUUUAUCAAUUAUGCCUAUGUAAUGAAGCCUUUUUGAAAAGUCAAAAGGCCAGACUUUGAAGAGCUUUUGGAUAACUGAGCACAUGGAGAUCCUGGGGGGUUGGGGGCACAACUUGAAAGGGCGUAGAAGCUCCAUGUCCUUCCUCCCAUAAGUCACCUAUGAAUUUCUUCACCUGUAUCCUUUGUAACAUCCUUUGUAAUAAACCAAUAAAUGCAUUUCCCUGA
Long non-coding RNA from Ictidomys tridecemlineatus (thirteen-lined ground squirrel), 1646 nucleotides. RefSeq lists it as uncharacterized. The record is from RefSeq and is a predicted model, not a curated record. NCBI's taxonomy places the organism in Eukaryota, Metazoa, Chordata, Mammalia, Rodentia, Sciuridae.